CUACGGGAGGCAGCAGUAGGGAAUCUUCCGCAAUGGACGAAAGUCUGACGGAGCAACGCCGCGUGAGCGAUGAAGGCCUUCGGGUCGUAAAGCUCUGUUGUUAGGGAAGAACAAGUGCUAGUUAAAUAAGCUGGCACCUUGACGGUACCUAACCAGAAAGCCACGGCUAACUACGUGCCAGCAGCCGCGGUAAUACGUAGGUGGCAAGCGUUGUCCGGAAUUAUUGGGCGUAAAGCGCGCGCAGGCGGUUUCUUAAGUUUGAUGUGAAAGCCCCCGGCUCAACCGGGGAGGGUCAUUGGAAACUGGGAAACUUGAGUGCAGAAGAGGAAAGUGGAAUUCCAAGUGUAGCGGUGAAAUGCGUAGAGAUUUGGAGGAACACCAGUGGCGAAGGCGACUUUCUGGUCUGUAACUGACGCUGAGGCGCGAAAGCGUGGGGAGCAAACAGGAUUAGAUACCCUGGUAGUCCACGCCGUAAACGAUGAGUGCUAAGUGUUAGAGGGUUUCCGCCCUUUAGUGCCUGAAGUUAACGCAUUAAGCACUCCGCCUGGGGAGU
RNAcentral lists this ribosomal RNA (553 nucleotides) under bacterium DR2A-55G5. RNAcentral's name for it is "bacterial SSU rRNA". It matches the Rfam family "Bacterial small subunit ribosomal RNA", at positions 339 to 881 of the family's 1533-position model. The record is from RNAcentral.